Molecule: long non-coding RNA, 835 nt
Filed under: Marmota monax (woodchuck)
Lineage: Eukaryota; Metazoa; Chordata; Mammalia; Rodentia; Sciuridae
Source: RNAcentral
CUCAGUUUCCCAAGUUGCAGGGAUUACAGGCAUGAGCCACUAUGCCUGGCUUUUUCUUCCUUUUAAAGGCUGAAUAAUAUUCUGUUGUAUGCAGGAAAGCAGGUUAAUUUAAAUUUUAAACUCCAGUGUUCACAAACUUAGCACAUUAACAUUACUUUGUACAUAAUAAAUUCACCCAUUAUUUGUUUCAUUAAAUUGGGUUAAUCGAUUAGGCACUCAGGUGUCAUUCCUAGCAAUGAGACUUUCUUUUUCAAUGUCAAGACUAUUGAUGGUCUCUACAGAAUCUUAGAUACAGCCUGAAAAUAGAGCUAUAGUUUUUAUUGGGGAAUUAAGGUGACUAGAAAAAUCUUAUAGAACUUCCAAGCCCUAGUCAACUAUUUUGGUCUGAGCACACACUUAUGAAUAGUAUUUUGGGGUAGGAAGGGAUUGUCUUAACCCAACAUCUUUACUUCCACAGUUUCCUAGCUGAGUCAGAACAGCUAUGGUGAAGGGCACAGUCCAGGGGAGAGUGAUGCUGUCAUGUAGAAGGAAUUGAUUUUCUGGCCACGACCAAAAGUCCCUAUGCCUUUGGAAAAACAGAAUGGAACUUGAAUUUGGGACUACUAUGAGAGACAUUUAGUUCUAUUUUCAGUAGUAGCUGCCUUUAGGUUCCCUCCAAAUGGGAAGAUGAAUGUCCUGUGUAAUGAAAGGCAAAGGGCUCAGGGGCAUCAUAUAAUCCACAUUUGGCUUAUAGAUUUGGUUCUGUACUCACAUUAAGCAUUGACAUGUUGGGUGCUCUGGAAAUACACUUCUCACAAGACAGGGAGAGCUGGCUCCAUAGCUCCUCCUGAGCCAG